RNAcentral lists this ribosomal RNA (637 nucleotides) under Entoloma jubatum. RNAcentral describes it as "partial large subunit ribosomal RNA". It matches the Rfam family "Eukaryotic large subunit ribosomal RNA", at positions 38 to 654 of the family's 3401-position model. The record is from RNAcentral. Lineage: Eukaryota; Fungi; Basidiomycota; Agaricomycetes; Agaricales; Entolomataceae.
GCAUAUCAAUAAGCGGAGGAAAAGAAACUAACAAGGAUUCCCCUAGUAACUGCGAGUGAAGCGGGAAAAGCUCAAAUUUAAAAUCUGGUAGUCUUUUGGCUGCCUGAGUUGUAAUCUAGAGAAGUGUUAUCCGCGCUGGACCAUGUAUAAGUCUCCUGGAAUGGAGCGUCAUAGAGGGUGAGAAUCCCGUCUUGGACAUGGACUUACCAGGGCUUUGUGAUGCGCUCUCAAAGAGUCGAGUUGUUUGGGAAUGCAGCUCUAAAUGGGUGGUAAAUUCCAUCUAAAGCUAAAUAUUGGCGAGAGACCGAUAGCGAACAAGUACCGUGAGGGAAAGAUGAAAAGAACUUUGGAAAGAGAGUUAAACAGUACGUGAAAUUGUUGAAAGGGAAACGCUUGAAGUCAGUCACAUUGGCUAGGGAUCAGCUUUGCUUUUUUGCUUAGUGCACUUCCUGGUUCAAUGGGUCAACAUCAAUUUUGACCAGUGGAAAAAGAUUAAGGGAAUGUGGCAUCUUUAGAUGUGUUAUAGCCCUUGACCAUAUACAUUGGUUGGAAUUGAGGAACUCAGCAUGCCGCAAGGCCGGGUUUUUACCACGUUCAUGCUUAGGAUGUUGGCAUAAUGGCUUUAAUCGACCCGUCU